Long non-coding RNA from Octopus sinensis (East Asian common octopus), 197 nucleotides. RefSeq lists it as uncharacterized. The record is from RefSeq and is a predicted model, not a curated record. NCBI's taxonomy places the organism in Eukaryota, Metazoa, Mollusca, Cephalopoda, Octopoda, Octopodidae. The transcript has 3 exons.
UCUCACUCUUACUUCCUGUUUCUAUUGUACCUGUAUUUCAAAAUGGCCAGCUGUGUCACGCUGAAGUUCCCUGUGGACUACAUUAAGGGUACGUGUGUCUGUGGAGUGCUCAGCCACUUGCACGUUAAUGUCACGAGCAAGCUGUUCCGUUGAUCUGAUCGACUGGAACCCUCGUCGUCGUACCCGACGGAGUGCCA